UACGGGGGGAGCAAGCGUUGUUCGGAUUUACUGGGCGUAAAGGGCGCGUAGGCGGCCAGCACAAGUCAGUUGUGAAAUCUCCGGGCUUAACUCGGAAAGGUCAACUGAUACUGUGCGGCUAGAGUGCAGAAGGGGCAACUGGAAUUCUCGGUGUAGCGGUGAAAUGCGUAGAUAUCGAGAGGAACACCCGCGGCGAAGGCGGGUUGCUGGGCUGACACUGACGCUGAUGCGCGAAAGCCAGGGGAGCGAACGGG
This 254-nucleotide ribosomal RNA is filed under the name uncultured bacterium. RNAcentral's name for it is "partial 16S ribosomal RNA". It matches the Rfam family "Bacterial small subunit ribosomal RNA", at positions 524 to 776 of the family's 1533-position model. The record is from RNAcentral.